Molecule: ribosomal RNA, 672 nt
Filed under: uncultured cyanobacterium
Lineage: Bacteria; Bacillati; Cyanobacteriota
Description: bacterial SSU rRNA
Rfam family: Bacterial small subunit ribosomal RNA
Source: RNAcentral
GAAAUGUGAUAGUGGCGUCACCGGUGAGUAACGCGUAAGAAUCUACCUCAAGGACGGGGACAACAGCUGGAAACGGCUGCUAAAACCCGAUGUGCCGCAAGGUGAAAUAUUUAUAGCCUAGAGAAGAGCUUGCGUCUGAUUAGCUAGUUGGUGGGGUAAGAGCCUACCAAGGCGACGAUCAGUAGCUGGUCUGAGAGGAUGAGCAGCCACACUGGGACUGAGACACGGCCCAGACUCCUACGGGAGGCAGCAGUGGGGAAUUUUCCGCAAUGGGCGAAAGCCUGUUCUGAGCAACGCCGCGUGAGGGAGGAAGGCUCUUGGGUUGUAAACCUCUUUUGCUUGGGAAGAAGAUCUGACGGUACCAAGCGAAUCAGCAUCGGCUAACUCCGUGCCAGCAGCCGCGGUAAUACGGAGGAUGCAAGCGUUAUCCGGAAUUAUUGGGCGUAAAGCGUCCGCAGGUGGUUAUUCAAGUCUGCUGUUAAAGACUGAAGCUUAACUUCGGAAAGGCAGUGGAAACUGAAAGACUAGAGGUCAGUAGGGGUAGCAGGAAUUCCCAGUGUACGGUGAAAUGCGUAGAGAUUGGGAAGAACAUCGUGGCGAAAGCGUGCUACUGGGCUGAAUCUGACCUGAGGGACAAGCUUGGGGAGCAAGGGAUAGAUACCCUUGAGUCCU